GGAGUGCUGCUCCUUGUGUGUGUGGGGCUGGGUGGUGGUUGGUGCGGCAGGGCGGCUACUCAGCUGCAGCAGUGCAGGUGCCAUCCUGUGGAAGAACCAUGAAGCACUACGAGGUGGAGAUUCGGGAUGCAAAGACGAGGGAGAAGCUGUGCUUCCUGGACAAGGCUCUCCAGCAGCAACAAUAAAACCUGCUUACCCAAA
RNAcentral lists this long non-coding RNA (201 nucleotides) under Rattus norvegicus (Norway rat). RNAcentral's name for it is "long non-coding RNA NONRATT014544". The record is from RNAcentral. Lineage: Eukaryota; Metazoa; Chordata; Mammalia; Rodentia; Muridae.